Molecule: ribosomal RNA, 2902 nt
Filed under: Escherichia coli KTE100
Lineage: Bacteria; Pseudomonadati; Pseudomonadota; Gammaproteobacteria; Enterobacterales; Enterobacteriaceae
Description: bacterial LSU rRNA
Rfam family: Bacterial large subunit ribosomal RNA
Source: RNAcentral
UUAAGCGACUAAGCGUACACGGUGGAUGCCCUGGCAGUCAGAGGCGAUGAAGGACGUGCUAAUCUGCGAUAAGCGUCGGUAAGGUGAUAUGAACCGUUAUAACCGGCGAUUUCCGAAUGGGGAAACCCAGUGUGAUUCGUCACACUAUCAUUAACUGAAUCCAUAGGUUAAUGAGGCGAACCGGGGGAACUGAAACAUCUAAGUACCCCGAGGAAAAGAAAUCAACCGAGAUUCCCCCAGUAGCGGCGAGCGAACGGGGAGCAGCCCAGAGCCUGAAUCAGUGUGUGUGUUAGUGGAAGCGUCUGGAAAGGCGUGCGAUACAGGGUGACAGCCCCGUACACAAAAAUGCACAUAUUGUGAGCUCGAUGAGUAGGGCGGGACACGUGGUAUCCUGUCUGAAUAUGGGGGGACCAUCCUCCAAGGCUAAAUACUCCUGACUGACCGAUAGUGAACCAGUACCGUGAGGGAAAGGCGAAAAGAACCCCGGCGAGGGGAGUGAAAAAGAACCUGAAACCGUGUACGUACAAGCAGUGGGAGCACGUUUAGGGGUGUGACUGCGUACCUUUUGUAUAAUGGGUCAGCGACUUAUAUUCUGUAGCAAGGUUAACCGAAUAGGGGAGCCGAAGGGAAACCGAGUCUUAACUGGGCGUUAAGUUGCAGGGUAUAGACCCGAAACCCGGUGAUCUAGCCAUGGGCAGGUUGAAGGUUGGGUAACACUAACUGGAGGACCGAACCGACUAAUGUUGAAAAAUUAGCGGAUGACUUGUGGCUGGGGGUGAAAGGCCAAUCAAACCGGGAGAUAGCUGGUUCUCCCCGAAAGCUAUUUAGGUAGCGCCUCGUGAAUUCAUCUCCGGGGGUAGAGCACUGUUUCGGCAAGGGGGUCAUCCCGACUUACCAACCCGAUGCAAACUGCGAAUACCGGAGAAUGUUAUCACGGGAGACACACGGCGGGUGCUAACGUCCGUCGUGAAGAGGGAAACAACCCAGACCGCCAGCUAAGGUCCCAAAGUCAUGGUUAAGUGGGAAACGAUGUGGGAAGGCCCAGACAGCCAGGAUGUUGGCUUAGAAGCAGCCAUCAUUUAAAGAAAGCGUAAUAGCUCACUGGUCGAGUCGGCCUGCGCGGAAGAUGUAACGGGGCUAAACCAUGCACCGAAGCUGCGGCAGCGACGCUUAUGCGUUGUUGGGUAGGGGAGCGUUCUGUAAGCCUGUGAAGGUGUGCUGUGAGGCAUGCUGGAGGUAUCAGAAGUGCGAAUGCUGACAUAAGUAACGAUAAAGCGGGUGAAAAGCCCGCUCGCCGGAAGACCAAGGGUUCCUGUCCAACGUUAAUCGGGGCAGGGUGAGUCGACCCCUAAGGCGAGGCCGAAAGGCGUAGUCGAUGGGAAACAGGUUAAUAUUCCUGUACUUGGUGUUACUGCGAAGGGGGGACGGAGAAGGCUAUGUUGGCCGGGCGACGGUUGUCCCGGUUUAAGCGUGUAGGCUGGUUUUCCAGGCAAAUCCGGAAAAUCAAGGCUGAGGCGUGAUGACGAGGCACUACGGUGCUGAAGCAACAAAUGCCCUGCUUCCAGGAAAAGCCUCUAAGCAUCAGGUAACAUCAAAUCGUACCCCAAACCGACACAGGUGGUCAGGUAGAGAAUACCAAGGCGCUUGAGAGAACUCGGGUGAAGGAACUAGGCAAAAUGGUGCCGUAACUUCGGGAGAAGGCACGCUGAUAUGUAGGUGAAGUCCCUUGCGGAUGGAGCUGAAAUCAGUCGAAGAUACCAGCUGGCUGCAACUGUUUAUUAAAAACACAGCACUGUGCAAACACGAAAGUGGACGUAUACGGUGUGACGCCUGCCCGGUGCCGGAAGGUUAAUUGAUGGGGUCAGCGCAAGCGAAGCUCUUGAUCGAAGCCCCGGUAAACGGCGGCCGUAACUAUAACGGUCCUAAGGUAGCGAAAUUCCUUGUCGGGUAAGUUCCGACCUGCACGAAUGGCGUAAUGAUGGCCAGGCUGUCUCCACCCGAGACUCAGUGAAAUUGAACUCGCUGUGAAGAUGCAGUGUACCCGCGGCAAGACGGAAAGACCCCGUGAACCUUUACUAUAGCUUGACACUGAACAUUGAGCCUUGAUGUGUAGGAUAGGUGGGAGGCUUUGAAGUGUGGACGCCAGUCUGCAUGGAGCCGACCUUGAAAUACCACCCUUUAAUGUUUGAUGUUCUAACGUGGACCCGUGAUCCGGGUUGCGGACAGUGUCUGGUGGGUAGUUUGACUGGGGCGGUCUCCUCCUAAAGAGUAACGGAGGAGCACGAAGGUUGGCUAAUCCUGGUCGGACAUCAGGAGGUUAGUGCAAUGGCAUAAGCCAGCUUGACUGCGAGCGUGACGGCGCGAGCAGGUGCGAAAGCAGGUCAUAGUGAUCCGGUGGUUCUGAAUGGAAGGGCCAUCGCUCAACGGAUAAAAGGUACUCCGGGGAUAACAGGCUGAUACCGCCCAAGAGUUCAUAUCGACGGCGGUGUUUGGCACCUCGAUGUCGGCUCAUCACAUCCUGGGGCUGAAGUAGGUCCCAAGGGUAUGGCUGUUCGCCAUUUAAAGUGGUACGCGAGCUGGGUUUAGAACGUCGUGAGACAGUUCGGUCCCUAUCUGCCGUGGGCGCUGGAGAACUGAGGGGGGCUGCUCCUAGUACGAGAGGACCGGAGUGGACGCAUCACUGGUGUUCGGGUUGUCAUGCCAAUGGCACUGCCCGGUAGCUAAAUGCGGAAGAGAUAAGUGCUGAAAGCAUCUAAGCACGAAACUUGCCCCGAGAUGAGUUCUCCCUGACCCUUUAAGGGUCCUGAAGGAACGUUGAAGACGACGACGUUGAUAGGCCGGGUGUGUAAGCGCAGCGAUGCGUUGAGCUAACCGGUACUAAUGAACCGUGAGGCUUAACCUU